This 633-nucleotide ribosomal RNA is filed under the name Halalaimus sp. Cr74b. RNAcentral describes it as "eukaryotic LSU rRNA". It matches the Rfam family "Eukaryotic large subunit ribosomal RNA", at positions 367 to 944 of the family's 3401-position model. The record is from RNAcentral. Lineage: Eukaryota; Metazoa; Nematoda; Enoplea; Enoplida; Oxystominidae.
CAAAGAACUUUGAAGAGAGAGUUCAAUAGGACGUGAAACCGUACUGAGAAUAAACGUGCGAGUUAAGACGUUGACGUUGAUUCAGCAAUACAGCAAUGUAUUGUGCAUUUCUACGUCGCGGCAGCCGGGGAGCGGCGUACUCUGACGUGUCGUGUGGCGGGCUGGUUCACGCCAGUGUCCUGCACGGUGUCGACGGUACAAAGCUCCUUUGACGGGCACCGAUAUUUCGUGGCGGGUCCACGCUGGUACGCCUUCCAGGGGUCAGACUUGCUCUGGGGUUUGGAUGGAGUUCUACGUUUGGAACACGCGAGUGGUGUGCUCGGUUGCCAGAGUUUGAUCUUGCACGACCCGUCUUGAAACACGGACCAAGGAGUCUAGAUUGUGCGCGAGCCAUUGGAUACCUAUCUCCAUAGGCGCAACGAAUGUGAUGAGGUUGGAUCAUUUGCGCACCUCAAACGUGUGCUGCGUUCGCGUAGCGCUCAGUAUGAGUGCACAGACUAGUACCCGAAAGAUGGUGAACUAUGCUUGAGCAGGACGAAGCUAGAGGAAACUCUGGUGGAAGUCCGAAGCGGUUCUGACGUGCAAAUCGAUCGUCAGACUUGAGUAUAGGGGCGAAAGACUAAUCGAACCAUC